UACAGAGGUGGCAAGCGUUGUUCGGAAUUACUGGGCGUAAAGGGCGCGUAGGCGGUUCGUUAAGUCCGCUGUGAAAGUCCAGGGCUCAACCCUGGGAUGCCGGUGGAUACUGUCGGGCUCGAGUCCGGAAGAGGCGAGUGGAAUUCCUGGUGUAGCGGUGAAAUGCGCAGAUAUCAGGAGGAACACCAAUGGCGAAGGCAGCUCGCUGGGACGUGACUGACGCUGAGACGCGAAAGCGUGGGGAGCAAACAGG
RNAcentral lists this ribosomal RNA (253 nucleotides) under uncultured bacterium. RNAcentral's name for it is "partial 16S ribosomal RNA". It matches the Rfam family "Bacterial small subunit ribosomal RNA", at positions 524 to 776 of the family's 1533-position model. The record is from RNAcentral.